This 682-nucleotide ribosomal RNA is filed under the name uncultured bacterium. RNAcentral's name for it is "bacterial SSU rRNA". It matches the Rfam family "Bacterial small subunit ribosomal RNA", at positions 8 to 708 of the family's 1533-position model. The record is from RNAcentral.
AGAGUUUGAUCAUGGCUCAGGACGAACGCUGGCGGCAUGCCUAACACAUGCAAGUCGAACGAGAAAGUUCCUUCGGGAGCAAUUAAAGUGGCGCACGGGUGAGUAACGCGUAGACAAUCUGCCCUUCAGUCUGGGACAACUUUUCGAAAGGAGAGCUAAUACCGGAUAACAAUGCAUGACACAAGUUGUAUAUUUGAAAGCUUUAUGUGCUGAAGGAGGGGUCUGCGUCCCAUUAGCUAGUUGGUAAGGUAAAGGCUUACCAAGGCAACGAUGGGUAGCGGGUUUGAGAGGACGAUCCGCCACACUGGAACUGAGACACGGUCCAGACUCCUACGGGAGGCAGCAGUGGGGAAUAUUGCACAAUGGAGGAAACUCUGAUGCAGCAAUGUCGCGUGAGUGAAGAAGGCCCUUGGGUCGUAAAGCUCUUUUAUGGGGGAAGAUGAUGACGGUACCCCAAGAAUAAGCACCGGCUAACUAUGUGCCAGCAGCCGCGGUAAUACAUAGGGUGCGAGCGUUGUUCGGAAUUACUGGGCGUAAAGGGCGCGCAGGCGGAAUAGUAAGUCGGAGGUGAAAGCCCGGGGCUCAACCCCGGAGGGUCUUUCGAAACUACUAAUCUAGAGAGGGUCAGGGGCCGGCAGAAUUCCUGGUGUAGAGGUGAAAUUCGUAGAUAUCAGGAGGAAUA